UGAGGAAUAUUGGGCAAUGCCCGCAAGGGUGACCCAGCAACGCCGCGUGGAGGAUGAAUGUCGUAAGAUUGUAAACUCCUGUUAGAGGGGAAGAAUAGUACCGGUUGGACCGGUAUAUGACUGUACCCUCAGAGAAAGCCCCGGCUAACUACGUGCCAGCAGCCGCGGUAAUACGUAGGGGGCAAGCGUUGUCCGGAUUUACUGGGUGUAAAGGGCGCGCAGGCGGGAUAAAAAGUCAGUGGUGAAAUCCUACAGCUUAACUGUAGAACUGCCUUUGAUACUUUUAUUCUUGACUUCGGGAGAGAGAGGCGGAAUUCCAGGUGUAGUGGUGAAAUACGUAGAUAUCUGGAAGAACACCAGUUGCGAAGGCGGUCUCUUGGUCCGACACUGACGCUGAGGCGCGGAAGCGUGGGGAGCAAACA
RNAcentral lists this ribosomal RNA (422 nucleotides) under uncultured bacterium. Its description in RNAcentral is "bacterial SSU rRNA". It matches the Rfam family "Bacterial small subunit ribosomal RNA", at positions 355 to 774 of the family's 1533-position model. The record is from RNAcentral.